AUUAAAUUUUAUUUAUUAAUUUUUUAUUUUAUUAGUUUAUUUAUAUUAAAAAUAAUUAUAUAAUUUUAUGUUUUAGUAGUUUAUAGUGAAAAAAUAAUUUUAAUAAUAGUUUAGUAGUAUUGUGAAAGAAUAUUGAAAUAUUUUGAAAAAUUUUUAUGAUAAAAGAAAAUUUAAUUUAUUGUACCUUGGGUGUCAGGGUUUAUUAAAUAAAAAAUAGUUAUUUAUUUUUCUCGAUUUUAAAAGAGUUAAUAAGUAAUAAAAGUUAAUGUGAUAAAAUUAUUUUAAAUUAUUUAUUAGAAAUGAAAUGUUAUUCGUUUUUAAAGGUAUCUAGUUCUUUAAGAAAUAGAUUUAAUCUAAAAAUUUUAAAUUUAUUUAAUUAAUUUUAUAAUUAAUUGAUUUUAAAAUUUUAAUAUUUUAUGGGAUAAGCUAUAAAAUAAAUUUUUAAAAAUUUUUAUUAUUAGUGAAAAAUAUAUGAUUAGAAUUGUCAAUUAUUAAAAGUUUGUUAUAAAUUAUUUUGAUGUUUAUAAUAUUUAUUAUAUUUUAAAUAUUUAUUAAAGUGUUUAUUUUAGUUUUAAAAAUAAAAUAAUAAUGAUAAAAUUAGUAUAUUUAUGUUGUAUAAAUAAAAUUAAAAGAUAAGUUUAAAUAAAGAAUUCGGCAAAUAUAAUGUUCGCCUGUUUAACAAAAACAUGUCUUUUUGAAAUUUAUUAUAAAGUCUAAUCUGCCCAAUGAGGUUUUUAAUGGCCGCAGUAUUUUAACUGUGCAAAGGUAGCAUAAUCAUUAGUUUUUUAAUUGAAAGCUGGUAUGAAUGAUUGGACGAGAUAUUAACUGUUUCAUUUAAAUUUAUAUAGAAUUUUAUUUUUUAGUUAAAAAGCUAAAAUUUAUUUAAAAGACGAGAAGACCCUAUAAAUCUUUAUAUAUAUUAUUAAUUUAAUUAUUAAGAUUUUUUUUAUUAUUUUUAUUGUGUAUAUUUUAUUGGGGUGAUAUUAAAAUUUAUUAAACUUUUAAUUUUUAAAAUCAUUAAUUUAUGAUUAAUUGAUCCAGUUUUAUUGAUUAUAAAUUUAAGUUACUUUAGGGAUAACAGCGUAAUUUUUUUGGAGAGUUCAUAUCGAUAAAAAAGAUUGCGACCUCGAUGUUGGAUUAAGAGUUAUUUUAGGUGUAGCAGCUUAAAAAUAAAGUCUGUUCGACUUUUAAAUUCUUACAUGAUCUGAGUUCAAACCGGUGUAAGCCAGGUUGGUUUCUAUCUUUAAUUAAAUUGAAUAUUUUAGUACGAAAGGACCAAAUAUUUAAAUAAUUUUAUUUUAUUAUAGAAUAUUAUUAAAUUAUU
This 1324-nucleotide ribosomal RNA is filed under the name Chyliza bambusae. Its description in RNAcentral is "16S ribosomal RNA". Lineage: Eukaryota; Metazoa; Arthropoda; Insecta; Diptera; Psilidae. The record is from RNAcentral.